CUAUCACGGUUGUGGCAUUUGUGGUAGGUAGUUCACGCCGCCCGGAUAUGUUGCCUCCCCAUCCAUUGUCGCCUCCCUUACACCGCGUGCUCUCCCUAGUGGCUUGCUUCUCCCUUACCUCGUGCACCUCUCCCCUGUGGCUCGCUCCUCACCGCCCUCGUGUGCUUCUCCCCGGUGGCUUGCUCCUUUCCUGCCUCGCCCUGCUCCCUAGCCCAUCUAUCGUGGCCUCCCCUACACCAAUACAUGCUAGAUCCACCACCUCCUCACCCAUCGUCAUCUCCACUGGCUGAGGCAUCCAUUGUGACAUUAGCGUUAGCAUUGGACACGUCUGGU
This 333-nucleotide long non-coding RNA is filed under the name Zea mays. RNAcentral describes it as "long non-coding RNA NONZMAT002604". The record is from RNAcentral. Lineage: Eukaryota; Viridiplantae; Streptophyta; Magnoliopsida; Poales; Poaceae.